AUUGAACGCUGGCGGCAGGCUUAACACAUGCAAGUCGAGCGGGGUGAUGGUGCUUGCACUAUCACUUAGCGGCGGACGGGUGAGUAAUGCUUAGGAAUCUGCCUAUUAGUGGGGGACAACAUCUCGAAAGGGAUGCUAAUACCGCAUACGUCCUACGGGAGAAAGCAGGGGAUCACUUGUGACCUUGCGCUAAUAGAUGAGCCUAAGUCGGAUUAGCUAGUUGGUGGGGUUAAGGCCUACCAGGGCGACGAUCUGUAGCGGGUCUGAGAGGAUGAUCCACCACACUGGGACUGAGACAUGGCCCAGACUCCUACGGGAGGCAGCAGUGGGGAAUAUUGGACAAUGGGGGGAACCCUGAUCCAGCCAUGCCGCGUGUGUGAAGAAGGCCUUAUGGUUGUAAAGCACUUUAAGCGAGGAGGAGGCUCUUUUGGUUAAUACCCAAGAUGAGUGGACGUUACUCGCAGAAUAAGCACCGGCUAACUCUGUGCCAGCAGCCGCGGUAA
RNAcentral lists this ribosomal RNA (503 nucleotides) under uncultured bacterium. RNAcentral describes it as "partial 16S ribosomal RNA". It matches the Rfam family "Bacterial small subunit ribosomal RNA", at positions 30 to 523 of the family's 1533-position model. The record is from RNAcentral.